Molecule: ribosomal RNA, 1564 nt
Filed under: uncultured bacterium
Lineage: Bacteria
Description: bacterial SSU rRNA
Rfam family: Bacterial small subunit ribosomal RNA
Source: RNAcentral
AGAGUUUGAUCCUGGCUCAGGAUGAACGCUGGCGGCGUGCUUAACACAUGCAAGUCGAGCGAGAAAUCGCGGAAGGAAGCUUCGGUAGAAUUCCGUGAUGGAAAGCGGCGGACGGGUGAGUAACGCGUGGGAAACCUGCCCUUGACAGGGGGACAGCCGAGGGAAACUUCGAUUAAUACCCCAUAACGCAGAGAGACCGCAUGGUCAUUCUGCCAAAGAAUUAUCGGUCAGGGAUGGUCCCGCGUCUGAUUAGCUGGUUGGUGAGGCAGCGGCUCACCAAGGCGACGAUCAGUAGCCGGCCUGAGAGGGUGAACGGCCACAUUGGAACUGAGACACGGUCCAGACUCCUACGGGAGGCAGCAGUGGGGAAUAUUGCACAAUGGGCGCAAGCCUGAUGCAGCAACGCCGCGUGAAGGAGGAAGGCCUUCGGGUCGUAAACUUCUGUCCAAAGGGAAGAAGAAUGACGGUACCUUUGGAGGAAGCCCCGGCUAACUACGUGCCAGCAGCCGCGGUAACACGUAGGGGGCGAGCGUUAUCCGGAAUUACUGGGCGUAAAGAGUGCGUAGGUGGCUUUGCAAGCGUAGGGUAUAAGGCGACAGCCCAACUGUCGUUGGCCCCGCGAACUGUAAGGCUUGAGUACAGGAGGGGAAGGCGGAAUUCCUAGUGUAGCGGUGAAAUGCGUAGAUAUUAGGAGGAACACCAGUGGCGAAGGCGGCCUUCUGGACUGUAACUGACACUGAGGCACGAAAGCGUGGGUAGCAAACAGGAUUAGAUACCCUGGUAGUCCACGCCGUAAACGAUGAGCACUAGGUGUCGGGCUCGCAAGAGUUCGGUGCCGGAGCAAACGCAUUAAGUGCUCCGCCUGGGGAGUACGCACGCAAGUGUGAAACUCAAAGGAAUUGACGGGGACCCGCACAAGCGUCCCGCAACGAGCGCAACCCUUGCCAUUAGUUGCCAUCAUUGAGUUGGGCACUCUAGCGGAGCAUGUGGUUUAAUUCGAAGCAACGCGAAGAACCUUACCAGGGCUUGACAUCCCUCUGAAAGGUCGGGUAAUGCCGACCCCCUCUUCGGAGCAGAGGAGACAGGUGGUGCAUGGUUGUCGUCAGCUCGUGUCGUGAGAUGUUGGGUUAAGUCCCGCAACGAGCGCAACCCUUGCCAUUAGUUGCCAUCAUUGAGUUGGGCACUCUAGUGGGACUGCCGGGGACAACCCGGAGGAAGGCGGGGAUGACGUCAAAUCAUCAUGCCCCUUAUGUCCUGGGCGACACACGUGCUACAAUGGCCGUCACAGAGGGAGGCGAAGGCGCGAGCCGGAGCGAAACCCUAAAGGCGGUCCCAGUUCGGACUGCAGGCUGAAACCCGCCUGCACGAAGCCGGAGUUGCUAGUAAUCGCGGAUCAGAAUGCCGCGGUGAAUGCGUUCCCGGGUCUUGUACACACCGCCCGUCACACCAUGGAAGCCGGGGGUGCCCGAAGUCGGUCGAAGAGGCUGCCUAAGGCAAAACCGGUGACUGGGGUGAAGUCGUAACAAGGUAGCCGUAUCGGAAGGUGCGGCUGGAUCACCUCCUU